RNAcentral lists this ribosomal RNA (518 nucleotides) under Salmonella enterica. RNAcentral describes it as "bacterial SSU rRNA". It matches the Rfam family "Bacterial small subunit ribosomal RNA", at positions 1 to 510 of the family's 1533-position model. Lineage: Bacteria; Pseudomonadati; Pseudomonadota; Gammaproteobacteria; Enterobacterales; Enterobacteriaceae. The record is from RNAcentral.
AAAUUGAAGAGUUUGAUCAUGGCUCAGAUUGAACGCUGGCGGCAGGCCUAACACAUGCAAGUCGAACGGUAGCACAGAGAGCUUGCUCUCGGGUGACGAGUGGCGGACGGGUGAGUAAUGUCUGGGAAACUGCCUGAUGGAGGGGGAUAACUACUGGAAACGGUGGCUAAUACCGCAUAACGUCGCAAGACCAAAGAGGGGGACCUUCGGGCCUCUUGCCAUCAGAUGUGCCCAGAUGGGAUUAGCUUGUUGGUGAGGUAACGGCUCACCAAGGCGACGAUCCCUAGCUGGUCUGAGAGGAUGACCAGCCACACUGGAACUGAGACACGGUCCAGACUCCUACGGGAGGCAGCAGUGGGGAAUAUUGCACAAUGGGCGCAAGCCUGAUGCAGCCAUGCCGCGUGUAUGAAGAAGGCCUUCGGGUUGUAAAGUACUUUCAGCGGGGAGGAAGGUGUUGUGGUUAAUAACCACAGCAAUUGACGUUACCCGCAGAAGAAGCACCGGCUAACUCCGUGCCA